This is a long non-coding RNA of Pogoniulus pusillus (Red-fronted tinkerbird), 340 nucleotides long. RefSeq lists it as uncharacterized. Lineage: Eukaryota; Metazoa; Chordata; Aves; Piciformes; Lybiidae. The transcript is spliced from 3 exons. The record is from RefSeq and is a predicted model, not a curated record.
CUUUGUGUGUGGUGUAUGAGACUCGUGCAGUCAGCAAGCUCCUUUCACCCUGGCUCUGAAGCAACCCUACAGGAGCCCUGGAUGUGACUGUUCGUGGGAUUGCUGUAUACUGACUUCCCCACUCAGCGUGGAGAUGGGAGCCAUGAGGCAGGAAUCUACUUGUACAAGAAAAUUCUGAAAUACCAACUUGAAGAUAGGUGCUUGGCCUGCAGAAAGGAUGCACUAUCCCCACAGAUAAGAUAAAAGAGGAGGAGAAGCUGGAAGCAUCUCCCUUGUCACAGCAAAGGAAUAUUUCUGGCUUAGAACAAAAAGGGGAGAACCUCUUUUCUAAAUGGUAAGA